Molecule: long non-coding RNA, 272 nt
Filed under: Brassica napus (rape)
Lineage: Eukaryota; Viridiplantae; Streptophyta; Magnoliopsida; Brassicales; Brassicaceae
Description: long non-coding RNA (BNAP_LNC017945)
Source: RNAcentral
UAAUAGUAAUUAAAAGAAACUAAGUUGGACUAUUCCCUCACAAGGCGUCACGUAUGGGCAUGUAGGGCUUUUUGUCCCAACUAGAUGAUAGUGAUAUAUGAGUUUGGUAACAUCGAUUUUCUAGAACGUUAUUUUUUUUUCUUUUCCAAUUUUGAUCUGUUUGUAUUUGAAUUUAUAUAUUUUGACAGGGUAAAAGGCGGUGACGCGUGGUUGCAAUUAUUAAAAAUGUUAUUCGAUGGUGUGAUAGUGUUCACAUAUUUUGACUCCGGUGU